UACAUGGGGUGCAAACGUUGCUCGGAAUUAUUGGGCGUAAAGCGCACGUAGGCGGUUCGUUAAGUCGGAUGUGAAAGCCCUCGGCUCAACUGAGGAAGUGCACCCGAAACUGGCGAGCUUGAGUGCUGGAGAGGGUGGCGGAAUUCCCGGUGUAGUGGUGAAAUGCGUAGAGAUCGGGAGGAACACCAGUGGCGAAGGCGGCCCUCUGGGCCGGGCCUGACGCUGAGACGCGAGGGCGUGGGGAGCGAACGGG
Molecule: ribosomal RNA, 253 nt
Filed under: uncultured bacterium
Lineage: Bacteria
Description: partial 16S ribosomal RNA
Rfam family: Bacterial small subunit ribosomal RNA
Source: RNAcentral